Molecule: long non-coding RNA, 202 nt
Filed under: Solanum tuberosum (potato)
Lineage: Eukaryota; Viridiplantae; Streptophyta; Magnoliopsida; Solanales; Solanaceae
Description: long non-coding RNA (STUB_LNC001881)
Source: RNAcentral
UUGUUUGGUGCUAUGUUAAUGAAUUUCAUGCAAUUGCAGGUGAUACUAUAUGCUGCUUUCGCCAUGACUCUGAUAUUUCCCUUUCAUAAAAGUUUAGCCUAAAUGACAGCACCAAUUAUGUUGCCUCACAUACGUAUUGGAUUCAGAGGAUACAUAAAAAUCAAAUAUGAUUCACUAUACACAGGAAAAAACAAAACAGGGA